This 484-nucleotide ribosomal RNA is filed under the name uncultured bacterium. Its description in RNAcentral is "partial 16S ribosomal RNA". It matches the Rfam family "Bacterial small subunit ribosomal RNA", at positions 28 to 523 of the family's 1533-position model. The record is from RNAcentral.
GGUAAACGCUGGCGGCGUGCUUAACACAUGCAAGUCGAACGAGAACGGAUUAUAGCUUGCUAUAAUUGUCAGCUAAGUGGCGCACGGGUGAGUAAUGUAUAGGUAAUAUGCCUCUUACUAAGGGAUAACAAAUGGAAACGUUUGCUAAUACCUUAUACUCCUUAUUAACAUAAGUUAAUAAGGGAAAGAUUUAUUGGUAAGAGAUUAGCCUGUAUUGUAUCAGUUAGUUGGUGGGGUAAUGGCUUACCAAGACUAUGACACAUAACUGGUUUGAGAGGAUGAUCAGUCACACUGGAACUGAGACACGGUCCAGACUCCUACGGGAGGCAGCAGUGGGGAAUAUUGCACAAUGGACGAAAGUCUGAUGCAGCAACGCCGCGUGGAGGAUGACACAUUUCGGUGUGUAAACUCCUUUUAUAUGAGAAGAUAAUGACGGUAUUAUAUGAAUAAGCACCGGCUAACUCCGUGCCAGCAGCCGCGGUAA